GACGGGUGAGGAUCCCGUCCGCUGGAUGACCAAGGGUUCCGGGGCCACGUUCGUCGUCCCCGGGUGAGUCGGGUCCUAAGGCGAGGCCGACAGGCGUAGUCGAAUGGAUGAACGGGUGGAUAUUCCCGUACCGACCAUGGACCGGCAAAACCGAGACGGUGAGUACUAACCUCCGCCUCGUGGUGGUUCCUUCCUUCGGGUUGGUUCCGUCGCGUGGUGUUGGGACUGUAGCCGCAGUAGGUCAGCGCAGGGGUGACACGGAAUGGGAGCCGGCCGCGGAGGUGGUUUUCCGUGGUCAAGCACGCAGCCAGUCAUGUAGGCAAAUCCGCAUGGCGCGCAUGGCGAGGUGUGAUGAUGGGAGCCGUUAUGGCUCGAUAUCCGGUUGUCCAGGCCGUCGAGAAAAGCCUCGGCGUGAGGGCCAUGGCCGCCCGUACCCCAAACCGACACUGGUGGUCAGGUAGAGAAUACCAAGGCGAUCGAGCGAAUCCUGGUCAAGGAACUCGGCAAAUCACUCCCGUGCCUUCGGUAUAAGGGAGACCCACUGGGGUGAAGGACCUUGCGUCCGGAGCUUUGGUGGGUGGCACAGACCAGGGGGUAGCGACUGUUUACCAAAAACACAGGUGCAUGCGAAGGCGAAAGCCGCUGUAUAUGCACUGACGCCUGCCCGGUGCCGGAAGGUUAAGAGGAUCCGUCAAUCCCUUCGGGGACGAAGCGGUGAAUUCAAGCCCCGGUAAACGGCGGUGGUAACUAUAACCAUCCUAAGGUAGCGAAAUUCCUUGUCGGGUAAGUUCCGACCUGCACGAAUGGCGUAACGACUUCCCCACUGUCUCGACCAGGAGCUCGGCGAAAUUGCAGUACGAGUAAAGAUGCUCGUUAAGCGCAGAAGGACGAAAAGACCCCGGGACCUUUACUAUACCUUGGUAUUGGCGUUAGGCGCGGAUUGUGUAGCAUAGGCGGGAGGCUUCGAAGCGGGUGCGCCAGCAUUCGUGGAGCCGCAAGGUGAAAUACCGCUCUGUUCUCGUUUGACGUCUAACCUCGACAAGUCAUCCUUGUCAGGGACAGUGCCUGGCGGGUAGUUCAACUGGGGCGGUUGCCUCCCAAAGAGUAACGGAGGCGCUCAAAGGUCCGCUCAGCCCGGUUGGCAAUCGGGUGUCGAGUGUAAUCGCACAAGCGGGCUUGACUGCGAGGACGACGGUCCGAGCAGGGACGAAAGUCGGAGAUAGUGAUCCGGUGCCGGCGCACGGGCGCGGCAUCGCUCAACGGAUAAAAGGUACCCCGGGGAUAACAGGCUGAUCAUUCCCAAGAGUCCAUAUCGACGGGAUGGCUUGGCACCUCGAUGUCGGCUCGUCGCAUCCUGGGGCUGGAGCAGGUCCCAAGGGUUCGGCUGUUCGCCGAUUAAAGCGGCACGCGAGCUGGGUUCAGAACGUCGUGAGACAGCUUGGUCUCUAUCCUCUGCGCUCGUUGGAAUCCUGAGGAGGCCUGCCCAUAGUACGAGAGGACCUGGGUGGACGAACCUCUGGUAUGCCGGUUGUCGCGCCAGCGGCACGGCCGGUUGGCUACGUUCGGGAGGGAUAACCGCUGAAAGCAUCUAAGCGGGAAGCCUGCUCCAAGAUUAGGAUUCCGUACGGUCUUGAACCGUUGUAGCCCGCAUGUUGAACACGUGUUUGAUAGGCCGGAGGUGGAAGCCCCGUGAGGGGUGGAGCCGACCGGUACUAACGGGCGACGGC
Molecule: ribosomal RNA, 1727 nt
Filed under: metagenome
Description: bacterial LSU rRNA
Rfam family: Bacterial large subunit ribosomal RNA
Source: RNAcentral